This 301-nucleotide ribosomal RNA is filed under the name uncultured bacterium. RNAcentral's name for it is "partial 16S ribosomal RNA". It matches the Rfam family "Bacterial small subunit ribosomal RNA", at positions 509 to 807 of the family's 1533-position model. The record is from RNAcentral.
CAGUAGCCACGGUAAUGCGAAGGGUGCAAGCGUUAAUCGGAAUUACUGGGCGUAAAGCGUGCGUAGGCGGUGAGUUAAGUCUGCUGUGAAAUUCCUGGGCUCAACCUGGGGGCUGCAUUUGAUACUGGGUCGCUAGAGUACUUUAGGGAGGGGUAGAAUUCCACGUGUAGCGGUGAAAUGCGUAGAGAUGUGGAGGAAUACCGAAGGCGAAGGCAGCCCCUUGGGAAUGUACUGACGCUCAUGUGCGAAAGCGUGGGGAGCAAACAGGAUUAGAGACCCCCGUAGUCCCUGUCUCUUAUAC